RNAcentral lists this ribosomal RNA (800 nucleotides) under uncultured Bradyrhizobium sp. RNAcentral's name for it is "bacterial SSU rRNA". It matches the Rfam family "Bacterial small subunit ribosomal RNA", at positions 45 to 890 of the family's 1533-position model. The record is from RNAcentral. Lineage: Bacteria; Pseudomonadati; Pseudomonadota; Alphaproteobacteria; Hyphomicrobiales; Nitrobacteraceae.
GGCCUAACACAUGCAAGUCGAGCGGGCGUAGCAAUACGUCAGCGGCAGACGGGUGAGUAACGCGUGGGAACAUACCUUUUGGUUCGGAACAACACAGGGAAACUUGUGCUAAUACCGGAUAAGCCCUUACGGGGAAAGAUUUAUCGCCGAAAGAUUGGCCCGCGUCUGAUUAGCUAGUUGGUGAGGUAACGGCUCACCAAGGCGACGAUCAGUAGCUGGUCUGAGAGGAUGAUCAGCCACAUUGGGACUGAGACACGGCCCAAACUCCUACGGGAGGCAGCAGUGGGGAAUAUUGGACAAUGGGCGAAAGCCUGAUCCAGCCAUGCCGCGUGAGUGAUGAAGGCCCUAGGGUUGUAAAGCUCUUUUGUGUGGGAAGAUAAUGACGGUACCGCAAGAAUAAGCCCCGGCUAACUUCGUGCCAGCAGCCGCGGUAAUACGAAGGGGGCUAGCGUUGCUCGGAAUCACUGGGCGUAAAGGGUGCGUAGGCGGGUUUUUAAGUCAGGGGUGAAAUCCUGGAGCUCAACUCCAGAACUGCCUUUGAUACUGAAAAUCUUGAGUAUGGGAGAGGUGAGUGGAACUGCGAGUGUAGAGGUGAAAUUCGUAGAUAUUCGCAAGAACACCAGUGGCGAAGGCGGCUCACUGGCCCAUAACUGACGCUGAGGCACGAAAGCGUGGGGAGCAAACAGGAUUAGAUACCCUGGUAGUCCACGCCGUANACGAUGAAUGCCAGCCGCUAGUGCGUUUACUCACUAGUGGCGCAGCUAACGCUUUAUGCAUUCCGCCUGGGGAGUACGGUCGCA